Long non-coding RNA from Oncorhynchus tshawytscha (Chinook salmon), 2139 nucleotides. The record is from Ensembl. Lineage: Eukaryota; Metazoa; Chordata; Actinopteri; Salmoniformes; Salmonidae.
GUCCACAUCUGUUGUUUAUGAAGCAUGUAACGAAUAAGAUUUGAUUUGUUGGAUUUUUGUAUUAAAUUUUAACUUAACUUCUUAUGGCUGGGGGCAGUAUUGAGUAGUUUGGAUUAAUAAGGUGCCCAGAGUAAACUACCUGCUACACAGUCCCAGAAGCUAAGAUAUGCAUAUUAUCAGUAUAUUUGGAUAGAAAACACUCUGAAGUUUCUAAAACUGUUUGAAUGAUGUCUGUGAGUAUAACAGAACUCAUAUGGCAGGCAAGAAUCUGAGAAAAAAUCCAACCAGGAAGUGGGAAAUCUGAGGUUUGUAGGUUUUCAACUCUUUGCCUAUCAAAUACACAGUGGGAUAUUGGUCAUAUUGCACUUUCUAAGGCUUCCACUAGAUGUCAACAGUCUUUAGAACCUUGUUUGAUGCUUCUACUGUGAAGUGGGGGCGAAUGAGAGGGGAAUGAGUCAGGGCUCUGGCAGAGUGCCAUGAGCUGACCUCGCUCGUUCACGUGAGAGCGAGCUCUGUUCCAUUGCAUUUCUACAGACAAAUGAAUUCUCCGGUUGGAACAUUAUUGAAGAUUUAUGUUAAAAACAUCCUAAAGAUUGAUUCUAUACAUUGUUUGACAUGUUUCUACGGAUUGUAACGGAUCUUUUUGACUUUUCGUCUGCUCCUAAUGAACGUGCAUCAUGAAUUUGGAUUUGUGAACUGAACGCGCUAACAAAAGGAAAUAUUUGGACAUAAAUUAUGGACAUUAUCGAACUAAACAAACAUUUAUUGUGGAACUGGGAUUCCUGGGAGUGCAUUCUGAUGAAGAUCAUCAAAUGUAGGUGAAUAUUUAUAAUGCUAUUUCUGACUUCUGUUGACUCCAACAUGGCGGAUAUCUGUUUGGGUUGUUUUGGUCUCUGAGCGCCGUACUCAGAUUAUUGCAUGGUGUGCUUUUUCCGUAAAGUUUUUUUGAAAUCUGACGCAGCGGUUGCAUUAAGGAGAAGUGUAUCUAUAAUUCCAUGCAUGAUAGUUGUAUCUUUUAUCAAUGUUUAUUAUGAGUAUUUCUGUAAAUUGACUUGAUGUGGCUCUCUGCAAAAUCACUGGAUGCUUUGGAACUACUGAAUGUAACGCGUCAAUGUAAACUGAGAUUUUUUAAAUAUAAAUAUGAACUUUAUCGAACAAAACAUACAUGUAUUAUGUAACAUGAAGUCCUAUGAGUGUCAUCUGAUGAAGAUCAUCAAAGGUUAGUGAUUAAUUUUAUCUAUAUUUGUGCUUUUUGUGACUCCUCUCUUUGGCUGGAAAAAUGGCUGUUUUUCUAUGACUUGGCUCUGACCUAACAUAAUCGUUUGGUUUCCUUUCGCUGUAAAGCCUUUUUGAAAUCAGACACUGUGGUGGGAUUAACAACAAGUGUAUCUUUACAAUGGUGUAAAAUACUUCUAUGUUUGAGGAAUUUUAAUUAUGGGAUUUCGGUUGUUUUGAAUUUGGCUCCCUGCACUUUCACUGGCUGUUGAUGAUAUGGUGGCCUUGGACAAUUACAGUAUAUCUGUCUGGUUGGAACAAAGCAGGUACAGUAAUGGUCGUUAGCUACUAAAUAAACAUAUUUUGCUAAUAUAUUCAGUAUUUAUGUUUCAUUAUCCAACGCCCUAGUUACCCUAUAGCUACAACAUAAAUCAUUUGAAAGAGAGGUAACAAAGCAAAGAUAUGACCAUUUUUGUUUUGUUUUCUAUAAUGAAAAUUGCAUAUUUGGAAUAGAGGGGGUUGAGGAAGCAUUGAUUAUUUCUACAGCUGUGCUAUUUUUGGUGGUUCUUGAGGCUCUGAUGUGUUCACCAUUCUGUUCUGAGAAAAUAGAUCAAUACCCACUGGCUACAGGUCAUUUAUAAGUCUUUGCUAGGUAAAGCCCCGUCUUAUCUCAGCUCAGCUCACUGGUCACCAUAGUAGCACCCACCCGUAGCACGCUCUCCCUCACUGGUCACCCCCAAAGCCAAUUCCUCAUUUGGCCACCUUUCCUUACAGUUGUCUGCUGCCAAUGACUGGAACUAACUGCAAAAAUCACUGAAGCUGGAGAUUCAUAUCUCCCUCACUAACUUUAAUGAUGAAGUUAAUAAUUUGCAUAUACUGUAUAUAGACUUUUCUAUUGUAUUAUUGACUGUAUGUUUGUUAAUU